RNAcentral lists this ribosomal RNA (405 nucleotides) under uncultured Desulfobulbus sp. Its description in RNAcentral is "bacterial SSU rRNA". It matches the Rfam family "Bacterial small subunit ribosomal RNA", at positions 980 to 1382 of the family's 1533-position model. Lineage: Bacteria; Pseudomonadati; Thermodesulfobacteriota; Desulfobulbia; Desulfobulbales; Desulfobulbaceae. The record is from RNAcentral.
CUUGACAUCCCGGAGACCCUUAGGAACUAGGGGUGCUUCCAUCUGGAAGAAUCUGGAGACAGUGCUGCAUGGCUGUCGUCAGCUCGUGUCGUGAGAUGUUGGGUUAAGUCCCGCAACGAGCGCAACCCUUGCCUUUAGUUGCCAGCAGUUCGGCUGGGCACUCUAAAGGGACUGCCGGUGUUAAACCGGAGGAAGGUGGAGAUGACGUCAAGUCCUCAUAGCCUUUAUGACCAGGGCUACACACGUACUACAAUGGCCGAUACAAAGGGCAGCGACACUGCGAGGUGAAGCCAAUCCCGUAAAAUCGGUCUCAGUCCGGAUUGGAGUCUGCAACUCGACUCCAUGAAGUUGGAAUCGCUAGUAAUCGUGGAUCAGCAUGCCACGGUGAAUACGUUCCCGGGCCUU